AGGAGCACGAGCUGCACUGCGUCCACCGGCCGGUCAGUGGACAGAGUGGGUGGUCCAACAGUGUGUGGACGGUACUGAGCUCUGUCCACCGGAGCCGACCACGGCGGAGGCGGCGAAUAUCAGAUGGAGAUGACAGAUGUGCGUGAAGACCUGGCCGCCUUUCGCCGGGAGGUGUCCGCCCUUCGUGAAGUGGUGUCCGCCCUUCGUGAAGAGAUGUCCGCCCUUCGUGGAGUGGUGGCCCCCCUUCGUGAAAAAGUGACCAUUCUAAACGAGGUGGUGGCAAAAGACAAUAAGGAGACAAAGAAGCUCAAGGGGGAGUACGCCACACUUCACGGUGCGGUGGUCCGCCUGGAGCAGGCGGUUAUCGAGGAGCGGACCACUCGCCAGACCGUGGUGGAGGAGCUGCGGCAGGAGGUCCGCCGGCGAGCGGCGCCAUCCGGCCGUCCCCAGGGAGCUAGAAAAAUGGCCAAUGACGUCAUAGUACAGACGGAGCCCCAGUCAUCGGCAGUCAGUGACGUCAUAGUACAGACGGAGCCCCA
This is a long non-coding RNA of Amphibalanus amphitrite, 539 nucleotides long. RefSeq lists it as uncharacterized. The record is from RefSeq and is a predicted model, not a curated record. NCBI's taxonomy places the organism in Eukaryota, Metazoa, Arthropoda, Thecostraca, Balanomorpha, Balanidae. The transcript has 3 exons.